Molecule: ribosomal RNA, 305 nt
Filed under: uncultured bacterium
Lineage: Bacteria
Description: partial 16S ribosomal RNA
Rfam family: Bacterial small subunit ribosomal RNA
Source: RNAcentral
ACAGCAGUAGCCACGGUAACACGAAGGGGGCUAGCGUUGUUCGGAAUUACUGGGCGUAAAGCGCACGUAGGCGGACAUUUAAGUCAGGGGUGAAAUCCCGGGGCUCAACCCCGGAACUGCCUUUGAUACUGGGUGUCUAGAGUAUGGAAGAGGUGAGUGGAAUUCCGAGUGUAGAGGUGAAAUUCGUAGAUAUUCGGAGGAACACCAGUGGCGAAGGCGGCUCACUGGUCCAUUACUGACGCUGAGGUGCGAAAGCGUGGGGAGCAAACAGGAUUAGAUACCCGCGUAGUCCCUGUCUCUUAUAC